CAAUUUGUCAACAGGAUGUGUUCGCACUGCUUGUUCCCAGUUUGUUAACAAGUUGUCAACAUCUUGUUGACAACUUGCUACAAGGUUGUCAAACUCAACAAACUUGUUACAAGUUGUUCCAACAGCAAUAGAACAAUUUGUCAACAAGUUGUGAGUGACAAGCUUGUAGCAACUUGAUAAAAUAACAGAAUUUUUACAACUUGUUGACAAGCUUGCUACAAGUCUGUUGCGAACACAUCUUGUUGACAAGUUG
RNAcentral lists this microRNA precursor (253 nucleotides) under Paramuricea clavata. The record is from RNAcentral. Lineage: Eukaryota; Metazoa; Cnidaria; Anthozoa; Malacalcyonacea; Plexauridae.